CAGCCGUAAACUAUGCGCGUUAGGUGUAUCGGUGACCACGAGUCACCGAGGUGCCGAAGGGAAACCGUGAAACGUGCCGCCUGGGAAGUACGGUCGCAAGGCUGAAACUUAAAGGAAUUGGCGGGGGAGCACCACAACAGGUGGAGCCUGCGGUUUAAUUGGACUCAACGCCGGGAAGCUCACCGGAUAGGACAGCAGAAUGAUUGCCGGGCUGAAGACCCUGCAUGACUAGCUGAGAGGAGGUGCAUGGCGUAGUCGUGU
This 261-nucleotide ribosomal RNA is filed under the name uncultured archaeon. RNAcentral's name for it is "partial 16S ribosomal RNA". It matches the Rfam family "Archaeal small subunit ribosomal RNA", at positions 748 to 1009 of the family's 1478-position model. The record is from RNAcentral.